Molecule: long non-coding RNA, 807 nt
Organism: Eriocheir sinensis (Chinese mitten crab)
Lineage: Eukaryota; Metazoa; Arthropoda; Malacostraca; Decapoda; Varunidae
Exons: 5
Source: RefSeq, a predicted model, not a curated record
CCCACACCAGCCCCAGCCAGGCUCCACACCCUCAGCCCCACCCUGGCCAGGGCGCGGCGCCCCACACAGUAGAACACUUCCGGCCACAACUCCACUCAGGGCCCCACACCAGCCCCAGCCAGGCUCCACACCCUCAGUCCCACCCUGGCCAGGGCGCGGCGCCCCACACAGUAGAACACUUCCGGCCACGACUCCACUCAGGGCCCCACACCAGCCCCAGCCAGGCUCCACACCCUCAGAGAUGGCAGAAUAAAAGAAAACUGAGUAUUAGACAUCUGGUGAGCUGCAGGAAGGGUUGGGGGCGAGGCUGUGUAUAUAUGGCUAAAAGUGUUUGCAAGACACUCCACCAUAACACUGGGAUCACUAACUGUUGACCCGUGCCCCAUCAGGACGUCAUUGUCUCCAGUCGUGUGGUCCAGUGAGUCACCGCUCUACCGCACGACAGUGACCCCAAGGAAGUCCCGGUCCACAGCAGGGAUGUGGCCACCCCUGGCCACAGCCCCAAGUGUUCCCUGGUGGGCCAUACUCACUGAGCUCCUCCUCCUCCUCCUCCUCCUCACCCUGCUGCCGUGGAAGGACAUGAAUGAACCCACAAACCUCUGGUCCAGGAGUCACCACAGCUGUCAGCAGAACAACUUGGAGCGUCCGCCCUUCCUGCCACCAGUGGUCGGAGACUCUCUCUUCACCACACGGUCUGCAUGUCAGCAAGGCACUACAUCGGACUCCACUACAACCUCCACAACCUCUACGGACUGUCAGAGACGAGUGCCACCAGUGCAUAAGUCUAUGAUGCUCAGAGUUUUAGGU